Molecule: ribosomal RNA, 536 nt
Filed under: uncultured bacterium
Lineage: Bacteria
Description: partial 16S ribosomal RNA
Rfam family: Bacterial small subunit ribosomal RNA
Source: RNAcentral
UGGGGAAUAUUGCACAAUGGGCGCAAGCCUGAUGCAGCCAUGCCGCGUGUGUGAAGAAGGCCUUCGGGUUGUAAAGCACUUUCAGCGAGGAGGAAGGUGGUGAACUUAAUACGUUCAUCAAUUGACGUUACUCGCAGAAGAAGCACCGGCUAACUCCGUGCCAGCAGCCGCGGUAAUACGGAGGGUGCAAGCGUUAAUCGGAAUUACUGGGCGUAAAGCGCACGCAGGCGGUUUGUUAAGUCAGAUGUGAAAUCCCCGGGCUCAACCUGGGAACUGCAUUUGAAACUGGCAAGCUAGAGUCUCGUAGAGGGGGGUAGAAUUCCAGGUGUAGCGGUGAAAUGCGUAGAGAUCUGGAGGAAUACCGGUGGCGAAGGCGGCCCCCUGGACGAAGACUGACGCUCAGGUGCGAAAGCGUGGGGAGCAAACAGGAUUAGAUACCCCUGGUAGGUCCACGCUGUAAACGAUGUCGAUUUGGAGGUUGUGCCCUUGAGGCGUGGCUUCCGGAGCUAACGCGUUAAAUCGACCGCCUGGGGGAG